UACGGAAGGCAGCAGUGGGGAAUAUUGCACAAUGGGCGCAAGCCUGAUGCAGCCAUGCCGCGUGUAUGAAAAAGGCCUUCGGGUUGUAAAGUACUUUCAGUCGUGAGGAAGGUGUUAAGGUUAAUAACCUUAGCAAUUGACGUUAGCGACAGAAGAAGCACCGGCUAACUCCGUGCCAGCAGCCGCGGUAAUACGGAGGGUGCGAGCGUUAAUCGGAAUUACUGGGCUAAAGGGCACGCAGGCGGUUAAUUAAGUUGGAUGUGAAAUCCCCGGGCUUAACCUGGGAAUGGCAUUCAAGACUGGUUAGCUAGAGUCUUGUAGAGGGGGUAGAAUUCCAUGUGUAGCGGUGAAAUGCGUAGAGAUGUGGAGGAAUACCGGUGGCGAAGGCGGCCCCUGGACAAAGGCUGACGCUCGAUGUGCGAAAGCGUGGGGAGCAAACGAGGGAUUAGAUACCC
Molecule: ribosomal RNA, 455 nt
Filed under: uncultured bacterium
Lineage: Bacteria
Description: bacterial SSU rRNA
Rfam family: Bacterial small subunit ribosomal RNA
Source: RNAcentral